CUACGGGAGGCAGCAGUGGGGAAUAUUGGACAAUGGGGGCAACCCUGAUCCAGCAAUGCCGCGUGUGUGAAGAAGGUCUUCGGAUUGUAAAGCACUUUCACUAGGGAAGAUGAUGACGGUACCUAGAGAAGAAGCCCCGGCUAACUUCGUGCCAGCAGCCGCGGUAAUACGAAGGGGGCUAGCGUUGCUCGGAAUGACUGGGCGUAAAGGGCGCGUAGGCUGUCUGUACAGUCAGAUGUGAAAUCCCCGGGCUUAACCUGGGAACUGCAUUUGAUACGUGCAGACUAGAGUCCGAGAGAGGGUUGUGGAAUUCCCAGUGUAGAGGUGAAAUUCGUAGAUAUUGGGAAGAACACCGGUUGCGAAGGCGGCAACCUGGCUCGGAACUGACGCUGAGGCGCGAAAGCGUGGGGAGCGAACAGGAUUAGAUACCCUGGUAGUCCACGCUGUAAACGAUGUGUGCUGGAUGUUGGGUGAUUUUAUCAUUCAGUGUCGGAGCUAACGCGUUAAGCACACCGCCUGGGGAGUACGGCCGCAAGGUUGAAACUCAAAGGAAUUGACGGGGGCCGNCACAANCGGUG
RNAcentral lists this ribosomal RNA (578 nucleotides) under Acetobacteraceae bacterium CS6. RNAcentral's name for it is "bacterial SSU rRNA". It matches the Rfam family "Bacterial small subunit ribosomal RNA", at positions 339 to 934 of the family's 1533-position model. Lineage: Bacteria; Pseudomonadati; Pseudomonadota; Alphaproteobacteria; Acetobacterales; Acetobacteraceae. The record is from RNAcentral.